AUUGAACGCUGGCGGCAUGCCUUACACAUGCAAGUCGAACGGCAGCACGGGUGCUUGCACCUGGUGGCGAGUGGCGAACGGGUGAGUAAUACAUCGGAACAUGUCCUGUAGUGGGGGAUAGCCCGGCGAAAGCCGGAUUAAUACCGCAUACGAUCCACGGAUGAAAGCGGGGGACCUUCGGGCCUCGCGCUAUAGGGUUGGCCGAUGGCUGAUUAGCUAGUUGGUGGGGUAAAGGCCUACCAAGACGACGAUCAGUAGCUGGUCUGAGAGGACGACCAGCCACACUGGGACUGAGACACGGCCCAGACUCCUACGGGAGGCAGCAGUGGGGAAUUUUGGACAAUGGGCGAAAGCCUGAUCCAGCAAUGCCGCGUGUGUGAAGAAGGACUUCGGGUUGUAAAGCACUUUUGUCCGGAAAGAAAUCCUUGACUCUAAUACAGUCGGGGGAUGACGGUACCGGAAGAAUAAGCACCGGCUAACUACGUG
This 486-nucleotide ribosomal RNA is filed under the name uncultured bacterium. RNAcentral describes it as "partial 16S ribosomal RNA". It matches the Rfam family "Bacterial small subunit ribosomal RNA", at positions 30 to 507 of the family's 1533-position model. The record is from RNAcentral.